UUCCGUUCCUUUUCCUGCGCCAGGACACUCCUUGGGAAGAAGGGCAUGCUUCCCAGUCUUCCAGGAGCAAGUCCUCCAGGGCUCAAGGAAGAAAAGGACACGCUGGCUGAGUGACGGGGGGAUCUGAGAUGCGGAUUCUAACUCCCAGAUUGAGUCUAAAAAUGUGCGAGAGGGAGGCCCCUUCCCAAGAGAAACAACCAAACCAACUCACGAGGAGAGCCGGCCAGAGCUUGGAGACCCAGACACGGGGGCGGAGCGGGGGCGGGGCUGGGAGCUCAGACCCCGCCCCCGGAAGCCUACAGCGCUUCCCCGCCCGCGCUAAGGUCUCACAGACACACGCACGCCGGAAUGCACGCACGCACGUUGGGGGCUGAACCGGUAGCAGUACGCAGGCGCACACGGGCCGCGCGCUUUUCGGAAGCCGCAGGUCGGCGGGCUUGGGAGGCUAAGGCCGCGGUGCGGCGCGGGGCCGGGAAGGCUGAAGAGCGAGUGGCUGCACGUGCGGGCAGGCCGACCCGGGAGUGUGGUGUCGCGGCUGAUAAAACUGAAGGCCCAGCAAUAGGAAGAAGCCAGCAUGACAUUGUUCCUCUGAUUGUCCUUAGAGACCAGAUUUAUACCCUUCUGCUUGACUUGGUUUGUUUUGCUUUACUUGUCUCUAGUUCCAUUGUUUUCCAUGUUGCCGCCACUGUCUUUGAUCUUCCUGCAUUUAAUGUUUGUGGUGGUUCUGGGGAGAGUGACCUAUUAACUGACUAAGCCCAGGGCCCUGACAGGACCCAAGACUUUCCAGAGGCUGGUCCUCAGAAUGCCCAGCCACCUUUGGUCACUACCACCACCCUCUAAACCUUGUGAAUGUUUUUCCUAUUCACAGGGAAAAUUGUUAUAUAACUAAAACAGUUCAAGCCAUCAGUUCAGUUCAGUUCAGUCGCUCAGUCAUGUCCGACUCUUUGAGACCCCAUGAAUCGCAGCGCAUCAGGCCUCCCUGUCCAUCACCAAGUCCUGGAGUUUACUCAGCCUCAUGUCCAUCGAGUCAGUGAUGCCAUAACAGAGCAUUAUUAACUCUUUAAUCUUUUAUAUCUUGAGUGUUUGAAAGCUAUGGUUAAAUAGAUGUUUCCACUAUAAACAGCCUUUCCUUAUAAAUUUACUUUAUAAAUAAAAAGUCCAGUGUGCCUUCCUUAAGACGGGCAAAGAUUUUAAAAGUAUGUUUAAAGUGUUAUGUCUUUGCUUCCUUCUAAACUGAAUUUUUUUCACCU
Molecule: long non-coding RNA, 1250 nt
Filed under: Cervus hanglu yarkandensis (Yarkand deer)
Lineage: Eukaryota; Metazoa; Chordata; Mammalia; Artiodactyla; Cervidae
Description: lncRNA (ENSCHYG00000006864.1)
Source: RNAcentral